AGUGAACGCUGGCGGUAGGCCUAACACAUGCAAGUCGAACGGCAGCACAGUAAGAGCUUGCUCUUACGGGUGGCGAGUGGCGGACGGGUGAGGAAUACAUCGGAAUCUACUUUUUCGUGGGGGAUAACGUAGGGAAACUUACGCUAAUACCGCAUACGACCUACGGGUGAAAGCAGGGGAUCUUCGGACCUUGUGCGAUUGAAUGAGCCGAUGUCGGAUUAGUUAGUUGGCGGGGUAAAGGCCCACGAAGGCGACGAUCCGUAGCUGGUCUGAGAGGAUGAUCAGCCACACUGGAGCGGAGACACGGUCCAGACUCCUGCGGGAGGCAGCAGUGGGGAAUAUUGGACAAUGGGCGCAAGCCUGAUCCAGCCAUACCGCGUGGGUGAAGAAGGCCUUCGGGUUGUAAAGCCCUUUUGUUGGGAAAGAAAAGCAGCAGGUUAAUACCCCGCUGUUCUGACGGUACCCAAAGAAUAAGCACCGGCUAACUUCGUG
This 492-nucleotide ribosomal RNA is filed under the name uncultured bacterium. RNAcentral describes it as "partial 16S ribosomal RNA". It matches the Rfam family "Bacterial small subunit ribosomal RNA", at positions 29 to 507 of the family's 1533-position model. The record is from RNAcentral.